RNAcentral lists this ribosomal RNA (532 nucleotides) under uncultured bacterium. RNAcentral's name for it is "bacterial SSU rRNA". It matches the Rfam family "Bacterial small subunit ribosomal RNA", at positions 777 to 1307 of the family's 1533-position model. The record is from RNAcentral.
AAUAGAUACCCGGGUAGUCCACGCCGUAAACGAUGAGUGCUAAGUGUUAGAGGGUUUCCGCCCUUUAGUGCUGCAGCAAACGCAUUAAGCACUCCGCCUGGGGAGUACGGCCGCAAGGCUGAAACUCAAAGGAAUUGACGGGGGCCCGCACAAGCGGUGGAGCAUGUGGUUUAAUUCGAAGCAACGCGAAGAACCUUACCAGGUCUUGACAUCUCCUGACAACCCUAGAGAUAGGGCGUUCCCCUUCGGGGGACAGGAUGACAGGUGGUGCAUGGUUGUCGUCAGCUCGUGUCGUGAGAUGUUGGGUUAAGUCCCGCAACGAGCGCAACCCUUGAUCUUAGUUGCCAGCAUUCAGUUGGGCACUCUAAGGUGACUGCCGGUGACAAACCGGAGGAAGGUGGGGAUGACGUCAAAUCAUCAUGCCCCUUAUGACCUGGGCUACACACGUGCUACAAUGGAUGGUACAAAGGGCUGCAAGACCGCGAGGUUAAGCGAAUCCCAUAAAACCAUUCUCAGUUCGGAUUGCAGGCUG